This 403-nucleotide ribosomal RNA is filed under the name uncultured bacterium. RNAcentral's name for it is "bacterial SSU rRNA". It matches the Rfam family "Bacterial small subunit ribosomal RNA", at positions 355 to 774 of the family's 1533-position model. The record is from RNAcentral.
UGGGGGAUAUUGCACAAUGGGGGAAACCCUGAUGCAGCGACGCCGCGUGUAGGAAGACGGUCCUCUGGAUUGUAAACUACUGUCUUCGGGGACGAUAAUGACGGUACCCGAGGAGGAAGCUCCGGCUAACUACGUGCCAGCAGCCGCGGUAAUACGUAGGGAGCGAGCGUUGUCCGGAAUCACUGGGUGUAAAGGGAGCGUAGGCGGGAAGGUAAGUUGGGUGUGAAAACUAUUGGCUCAACCGGGACACUGCCAUUGAAACUGUCGAUCUAGAGUGUACAAGAGGUAAGCGGAAUGCGUGGUGUAGCGGUGAAAUGCAUAGAUAUCACGCAGAACCCCGAUUGCGAAGGCAGCUUACUGGUGUACAACUGACGCUGAGGCACGAAAGCGUGGGUAUCAAACA